This is a long non-coding RNA of Coregonus clupeaformis (lake whitefish), 885 nucleotides long. RefSeq lists it as uncharacterized. The record is from RefSeq and is a predicted model, not a curated record. Lineage: Eukaryota; Metazoa; Chordata; Actinopteri; Salmoniformes; Salmonidae. The transcript has 3 exons.
CUCGUUCCUUGCUACCUACGACUGGGGGCUCUGACAAGCACAAUUUACAUUGAGUUCGCCCCGCGCUGGUAUUUACUUUGAAACCUGAUUAGUAUGGGCCGUCUAUUGUCACAAAAAGAGAAGGAAACCCUGGAUAGAAUAGCCGAAAUAAGGGUAAAAGCGGGGACAAAGCUUUGCGCAGAUACUGUGUUCCUGAUGAAGAUUUCAAACGGAGCAGCUGGUGACUUUGGUAGAUUGAGGAUAAGAUUGGGAAGCUGUGGAGUAAGCUGGACGCAGAGAGAGAGAGAGAGAGUGGGGUGACAGUGAAUGAGAGCAGCGGGAAGAAGGCUGUAGCACGAAAACAGGCGAGAAAAAGAGAAAGUGGACAGCAGGGUAAAAAAAAGACGCACCCAGCGACGACUAUUAGGCUAUAGUGGACGGGAAACAUCGGUACCUGAAUUCGGCUAACACCAGCCAGGCAAGUACAACAUGUAUUUAUCUUCCACCUAUUCUAUUCACAAGUAGCUCUAAAUGAAUGAAGAAUACGUUCUAGCCUCGCCACACUACAUUGCAACCCAUGUAGGCAACCGUUAUCUAGCUUAUCUGUCUAAAUGUCAAACAACCACUGUUAGGCUACAUUCCAGUGCGAAACUUUUGAACCGUACUUUGGAUAUUUUCCUUGACAUUCUUACUGAUUUGGGGACCCGUUUCUUCGUUUUAAACUGUCGUCAGCAAUAUAUACCAACAUCGUUGAUGCUGUUACCGUAAUUCAGGGAAUCCUUUCCAAGUUGUGAGCAUCUCACCUGUGCAAGGCUAUUUGUUGUUUGAUCACAUAAUGAAAGGAUCGAUAGCAGCCUGUUUCUCAUCGAUAGUUUCAACGGAUUAAAUGACAUUAUACGAUCGAGC